Molecule: transfer RNA, 64 nt
Filed under: Enterobacter sp.
Lineage: Bacteria; Pseudomonadati; Pseudomonadota; Gammaproteobacteria; Enterobacterales; Enterobacteriaceae
Description: tRNA-OTHER
Rfam family: tRNA
About the family: Transfer RNA (tRNA) molecules are approximately 80 nucleotides in length. Their secondary structure includes four short double-helical elements and three loops (D, anti-codon, and T loops). Further hydrogen bonds mediate the characteristic L-shaped molecular structure. tRNAs have two regions of fundamental functional importance: the anti-codon, which is responsible for specific mRNA codon recognition, and the 3' end, to which the tRNAs corresponding amino acid is attached (by aminoacyl-tRNA synthetases). tRNAs cope with the degeneracy of the genetic code in two manners: having more than one tRNA (with a specific anti-codon) for a particular amino acid; and 'wobble' base-pairing, i.e. permitting non-standard base-pairing at the 3rd anti-codon position.
Source: RNAcentral
GCCGAAGUGGCGAAAUCGGCAACCGUAGAAAUACGUGCCGGUUCGAGUCCGGCCUUCGGCACCA